Molecule: long non-coding RNA, 10463 nt
Filed under: Triticum aestivum (bread wheat)
Lineage: Eukaryota; Viridiplantae; Streptophyta; Magnoliopsida; Poales; Poaceae
Description: long non-coding RNA (TAES_LNC028265)
Rfam family: MIR1120/MIR1122 microRNA precursor family (bases 5863-5949)
Source: RNAcentral
CAGUUUAGAAUACUGCAGCAACUCAAGCUUAGGGGCUGCUCCUUCUUCAAAUCCCACCGACUUGAGGUUGCUUAUGCAACUCAGCUCCAGCACCUUCAAGCUCGGGAAUGACUCCCGAUGGAAACUGAAACUGACCUCUUCACCAACGAAUGAGUCAUUCAACAGACGUAGGGUGGCCAGGUUUGGUAGGUUCUCAAGGACUUGUAUGGCCGCAUCAUGCUCCGAUAUACUCGACCACACUAGCUUCAGCUUCACGAGAUUUUUGACGCCCUUGAUCCACUCCGGCAGCUCAACCAGGCUGCCUAUCAACUUGAGGCUCUGCAGAUUUUCUGGAGGUGAUGACAGACCAUCCAAGCAGCCUGAUAAACCUGUCUCUCCAUCUGAUUGCAGCGACAAUGACUCCAGGCUGCUGAGACAAGCAAUUGCUAAACACGAUUCCUGACCAUUUCUCUUGUUGAUGCCUAUCAAUCCUAACUUGCGCAACCGGGUCAACCUUUUUAUAUCUUCCAGAGCAGCCUUCCCACUUGAGAUGUCCACAACACGCAGUGUGUGUAGGGCCUUCAGUUUCCAAAUCUCUCUUGGCACUUCAACACCACCUGCAAUUUUUUGUAUGCCACUAGCAAGAAUGCAUUGCAUCUUCACAAGUUUGAUGAUGGCCCUUGGUAGCUUUAUUAUACAUGUACCUGAAAUAUCUAGUGUCUGGAGUUGUCUCAGGUUCCCCAACGAAUUUGGCAGGUGAUGUAUACGAACAUGUCCCCUUAGAGAAAGAUAUCUAAGAUGUACAAGCUUCCCAAUAUGCUCAAGAUGAUAAUUGAAUAAACCCCAAUUGCCUUCCAAAUCCAGCACUCGGAGCAACCUCAUCUUAUCUGAAAUGUAAAACUGCCUCCAAUUUCCAAACACUGUCAAUGAUCGUAGGCGCGACAAGUCUAGUAUAUUCUCAAAAGCACACUUAUCACCUUUCCAGUUGCUACUUAUAGCAAGAUGACGCACUGUGCCUUGGUUGUUUAAGCUGCACCCUUCCUCCAGUGUGAAAACAAGAUUUUCCUCCAUAGACUUUGAGAUGGCAAUUUCACGAAUGAGAUCAUGGACGUGGCAGGAGUCAAUUCCUUUCCUACUAUGAAUUGACUGUUGAGAUGGCAGGAUCAUGCUCCUGCUUAUGAGUUCCAUGAAGUAAGAGUCCAAUACCUCCUCCACAGACUUGCCACGUACCUCACUUGAGUAACUCUCCGCAAUCCAACGACGCACUAAGCAUGUCCGUGCAAUCUGCUGGUCUUCAGGAAAGAUGGCCAGAUACAAGAAACAAGCCUUGAGGUAAUAGGGUAAACCAUCAUAGCUUUUCAUAAGGAUUGCUUUUAUGGUCUCGAGUUCUGGAUUCAUCUCCAACUCAACACUGAUAUGCUCAUUCAUUUUUCUCCAUUCAAAAGCAGUUUUUGGUUGGUUUGCUAAGAAGCCACCUAUGAUGACUAGUGCAAGGGGAAGCCCUCUACACUUCUUCAAUAUCAGUUUUGUUGGUUCAACCAACUCUGGAUAUCGCUCAUCCAAACUUACGACCUCCUUAAAUACCUGAAAUCCAUAUCAAUCAAGUCAUUUAGUACAACAAGAAAGGAAGCAAAUAUGCACAAUUGUCUAACACAUUUUUUAUAUGGGAAUAUGUACUACAACGAUGUUAAAGUGAGACAAUGCUACUUUUUGUUGGAUAAUAAGUUUCUCCAUCAUCCAUUCUUUUAUUUAGUAUAUCUUCAUUUCUGUUCCUAGAAAGAUUUUCCUCCCACCUAGCAACAUGUCCAUAGUAUAAUAACCCAACUUCUCGCUCAUUCCUACCAGCUUCUACUUCUACAGCUACACCUCGCCUCAGAAGUAGGUGAAUUGUAUUCUUGCUACUGAUUUCAUUGGACAUCAAUUACCCACAUAGCUACAGAAGUAGGCAUUAAAUUGAUAUGAUUGGGCCUCUUAGUUAAUGGUGCAUAUUUGUCAUAAUCAUAACACCUGAAUGUGGUUACUACAUGAGAAGCUCUUUUACGGUGCUCAUAUUAGAAAAUAAUAUGGUUCCUCAAUCUUAACACCUUAAUGACUCAUCCAGCGAAUUUUUUUAUGCAUGUGCAUAGAAUAAUUGUGGAGGAAUUCAAGGAGAGCACCAUAACAACAAAAUACCCAAUAAAGUGUGAACUAUUGGAUUUCUUAAAGAACAAUUCGGUCCCUGUGUUGCCCCCAGUUUAAUGUGGGCGACUCGGGUCAGACUCGCUCCACUAGGUUUAGGGUUCCAUUCUACACCUCUCCCCCACCUGCUGCCGCAUUGUGUUCUCCAUGAUGGACACCGAGUCUCCCUCAUCCUCCCUUUGUCGGUGGACAAAGCAGCAGACUUGAUUUUGGUGGACACAGCGGAAGAAACAAUACAACAAGCAGGUUGCAGGCACUGGACGGCUAAGAACAGAACACACAAGCACCAGCUAUUUCCAACCCCCUUUCAAUUGGGUUGCCUUCCUUUGCUAUUUUUCUCAUAGUAGCACCUCCUCCAGCAGCAAGCUGUGGAGGUAUACACAUGGAGUCUGCCACAUCUAGUGCCUCCUAUUUCACACGUCUCACCCAUGCCUCUCCCUCACCUACUAUCCAAUACAGGAGAAAGAUGAGUAGGCUAGAGAGGGAGAAGCAGGGCUUACACAGUUGACUGAUGCUCCACCUUAUAAAGAAAUGGAAAUAAAACUAAGUACAAGAUUAAGAUGCUAACACUCCUGCCCCUGGAUCUGGAUCUUUUUGGAUCUGGUAAACCAGGGAGUGGUGUGGCAAGGCAUUGGGCAACGAGGCAAUGGCCAUUGGUGGUGAGCUUGUAGCGCAUUCAGCAGGGCGUGCUGCAGUGGUGAUGUCCGGUCGCUCUACCCUUGAGGGCAGAGGGGCGGGUGUGAGGCGUUGGCUCAAGAGGGCGAUGUGGCUGUGCGUUUUUUGUGGUCGGGUCGGGCUGGCACCAGAGGGGGCAAUGAGAGUGAAAAAGUGUAGUUGAUAGUGGCCUUCCUUUGCAGUAGGGGCUCGCUGACGUGUCGGCAUCGUCUCCAGGAGCAUGGAAGUUCACCAGGGCAACUGCCGCCUGCUUGUUUGCUCACUAUGCAUGUCCAUUGGAUACUCCAAGCUCUCCAGAUUAUCUUUUGCUGCUGGCAUCUUGGCAUCAUCCUUUGUUGGCCAUGCUGCUGGGCAGAGGAUGAAAACCCAAGCACGAGUCUUUUGGGUCGAGAAGUGGUGGCACACCUCCAUCUUCUUGAAGACGCCGCCUUGCUGCCUCAGAGCCUCUCCUCAUCGGUGGUUGUGUGGUGUGGUGGCUGCAGUGUGCUGUGGUUCUUUAGGCUGCAAGGUGGUUGUUGUCUGGCUAUGGUAUGAUGUGCUGUGCUUGGUGGCCCGAAGCGCUGGGGGGCAAGGGCUUUUCUAUGGUGAUAGGUGGCUAUUAACUCGGCGCACAACUAUCUCGGGCGGCUCUGCACAGCUUUUUGGACAGGCUUCACGAUGCUUCGCUCACAUGGCCCUUGGCACCAGCAAUCCCCCUUGCACCUUAUCAGUGCUUCAUGGGUGUAGCUAGGAUCCGGAAGCUCCAACUUGCAGCAAGUCAACAUCAGGGAGACCUUGCAACACAACCCAUUAGCAGUUGUUUUUUAUGUUUUCUAAGACUCUAGUGCUAUGUUGUACUCCCUCCGUCCCAUAAUUCUCGUCUUAGAUUUGUCUAGAUAUGGAUGUAUCUAACACUAAAAUGUGACUAGAUACAUCUGUAUUUAGACAAAUCUAAGACAAGAAUUUUGGGACGGAGGGAGUAGUUUGUUGCUUGUGGUGGCUUGCUCAGAAGUUAUCCGUUGUGGUGCUUGUAGAUUGUUGUGUAUCAUUCCUGAUGUACGGUAUGGGGCUGCGUCCCUACACCAAUUUAGGGGUUUACUUCGUGCAAUCCUACUAUGCCGUUGGGGCUUUCACCGAUAUAAAGACAUACAACAUGUGUACUAUCUAAAAAAUAUAUAACCAUCAGCAACUCCGUGGAAACCAAACUUCUGUAUAUAAAAAUAAAUGCAAUAAUCUAACUGAUUUGAGAAAAUGUAAAGGUAGCAACUCAUAUGACCUGGUGUAUUCUCUCUAUAUUCAUCAACCACAUUUGCAGGACACAAAACCUGCCUUACCUUUCCUAGAGAUAUGUUUAUAGCGCAUCAGUUUUAAAGGAGCUUCAUGUGAAACAUCUUAAUUUCUCCAAAAUGCAAGAAAAAUUAUCCCACAUAACGAAGCAUGCCAAUCUUUUAGAUGAUAUAUUGGAGUUGUAAGCCACAAGAAAAUGUCAAAACGAUAAAUCCACAAGAGAAAGGUCGUCAUGCAAUAACUUAAAUAACGAGGAAUUUUUUCCUAUACACACCCCUUUGUAUCUUGUAAAAAUAUGUUGAACCUAUAUUUGUGCCUCUACUGACUUCUUUGUUGUUUGAUCGUGAAUCAGGGAUACCAUACUUCACUUUGACAGCUACAAAUUCCACAAAUUAUUUGUCUAGAGUAACCUACACAGAUAAUCAUGUCUCCACCUUAUUGUAAUCAUACUUUAUGUAAUUUGUAGUCCUUUGUAUUUAUAUGUAUCAUUCUAGCUAUUGCGUAAGAUUUCUAACAAAUGGCAAUUCGAAUUUUCUAGUGGACAAUUUGAUUUUAUAAUUCUGUUACACGUGAAAGUUUAAAGCAGUAAUAGAAAUAAGAGGGGCAGGAUUAACAGAACAACUAAUUGAGCAUGACACUACUUCAUUUUUACCUUUUUGGUGAAGAGGGUACAUGCAUCAUCAGGGACCAGAUGGUUCAGCUUGUAUAUAUUUAUAUCAUCCUUUGAGCAGUGCUUGGCAAUAUUCUCAUCCCUCGUUGUGAUUAUUAUGCAGCUUGCUGCCGUUUCUGGCAAAUGUUCUUUUAUAGCAUCCCACUCUACUAUUGACCACAGAUCAUCAAGAACAAGCAAAUAUCUUCUUCCUUCUAAACAUUUCCUUAAAUCUGUCUCAUUUUUACCUCCGAGUUGCACAGCUAAGCUCCCAAGGAGUAUUGUUGGAUUGAAAGGACGCAUGACUGUCUCACAAGCACGCUUAUCAAACAAGCUACUAAUCUCUUGGCUUUGAUAGAUAUCUCUCACCAAUGUUGUUUUUCAAAUACCACCCAUUCCCCACAAGGAGAUCACAUGAAAUUGCUGGAGAUCUUUAUUUGAGAUUAGUUUGAUGAUUUCCUCUUUUUCAUUCCCUCUCCCUAUGAGACGAGAUUCCUCUAGAGUAGCCAUUGUCUCCAUGCGAGUGAGGAUGUUCUUGUCCGCGGAGCUGUGAAGACCUGUAGAGGCUACAUAUGAGGUGGAUCCUUUCUCCACCGAUUUCCAUCCCUCUCGAGAGACCUAAGCAUGAGCAUACAAUUAAUGUUGAGGUGUUGCCUUCGUUUCCACAAGAUAAUAUUUUCUCAACUUCUAAGUUUUCUUUUGUAAUUUUCUACAUAAUACUUCUUCUCUUAAAUGAUUUGAAAAUCUCUAACCAAUCAUGCAGUUUGUUCGGUAGGACAACAAAGGAAAUAAAGUUUGUUGGGAGGACACACACAUACAUAUAGGUAAGUUGUUGGAUAUGAUGCGGGCACAAUAGUUCAAUAUGGAAAAUAUCGAACAAAAUAGUAUGAUACGAAAAGGAAGAUAAGUUUACUAGUAAAAUACAAAGUAGAAACUUGCAAUAUAUCACACUACCUCGGUUGCAGCAGAAGUGAAAGGUGUAUAAAUCCUACAGGUCUUUUCUCAUGAAAAAGAGGAAAAUACAUAUUUAUUUUGUAAUUAAAACAUGUGGAAAGGCUAAUAACCUACAGCUUUCAUGAUAGCACAGGUGCAAGUCUAGUUAAUUAUGUUAACUAUUACUCCCUCCAUCCCAUAAUAUAAAAGAGUUUUUCAUACUACACUAGUGUAAAAAACACUCUUAUAUUAUGGGACGGAGGGAGUAGUUGAGAUAGUAAACAAAAAUAGCAACACGAGGACUUCAAAAAUUACCUUCUGGUAGAAAGCAUAAAGAGGCUUAUCAGCAAAUAACUUCUUAUGCACUAGAGUUUCAUCCUCUGCUCCCAUGCAUAAGCUUGCAACUGCAACUUGCUUAGUGAAAACUAUGACUCGGCUUCCUUUCUUGUUGUCUGGGAAACAUGUUUUAAUGCGACCCCACUCUUCAAUGGCGUGUAUGUCGUUGAGUACAAUUAAGUAACUCUUGUCAUUCAAAUAUCUCUUGAACUCAUGAGCCAAAGCAUCUUCCUUCGUUGUUGCCAUCAUCUUAAGAACUUGGGCCCCAAUAGUUGUUUUACCUUCUUCUCCAGAGUCUUGAAGAGAAUUAACACAGAUUUGGCUAACAAUGCUUUGAAUCAAAUCUGCCUGAUUGAAAGGACACAUCAAUGUGAUCCAAGCACAACAAUCAAAAUUCUUGUGUAUCAUGGGGUCUUCAUAGGCACUUUCCAGGAUGGAUAUCUCCCCCAGAUCACUACUACUUGUGCCCCACAACACCAUCACUUCGAAGUGCAUCAUCCUUGCAAUUGAUCAGCUCGACGAGAUCCGUUUUUGCUUUAUGCUGCUGCAGCCUUGCAUCAUCGGCGGCAGACAUCGUCGUGCUGGACAUGAUAUGCUGCCCAACAGCGGAGGUAGGCUUGGAGCUAGAGCCCUUGAUGAGGUGGUACCGUUGGCUCCUCUGGCUGACCUCCUCAACCUUGUCUCUGAGCUCCUUCAUCUGCAUCGCCACAUAACGGCGGGCCAGCACCUUGCGAGAGAGACACCACCAGGAUUGCUUCUCGAGACGGACAGCAAAAUCCAGGAGGCAGUCCUCGACAGAGUAGGAGACGUCACGGACUUGUUUCACCCAAGUCCUGACCACCCAAUUGUCGUCUCUCUCAUCGUGAGCAGCCAUCAGGAAUGACUGCAUCAUCUCGAGCUCGUCCGAGAUGAAGGAGUGGUCACGCUGGACACCAAGCUGCAAAGCAACUUCCUCGGCGACAGCUGACUGGGUGUAGUUGAGCGCCCCGCUCAACACGGACUUGCCAACGCUGAUGGCCGUCGCCUCCAUUUAGUGAAUGUUUGUGUGGGUCAAUAGGUUGUGUACUGCAAACCGAUGAUACUGGGUGUAAGCGUCUGUGCUUGAGCUAAAUCUGAAGAGAUGAAUAACAACGGAGGAAACAGAGCAGCAUACCUGGUGUGUCGACACCACGGGGGGCGACCAAGAUGAAGGUUGUGGCUGUGAAAUCCAAGAUGGUGAACACAGCCUCGGAGCCCUCAGCCUCAACACCAGCGUUGUCCCUCCAAGACGAGCAAACUUGAGAGAUCUGUCGGCCGAGUCAGAGAGAUGAUUUACAAGUCACAAAGUAUGAAAGAUCUGCCAAUGCUGAUGACCGUUGCCUCCAUUAACUGGAUGUUUGUGUGGAUGGAUCAAUUGGUUGUGACUGAUGGAGGCUGUACUGCAAGCAAGAUGAAUUGGAUCACUCGAUGCUAAUGUCUGCGCUUGAGCUAAAUCUUGGGAGGUAAAAGCACAGAGGAAACAGAGCAGCAUACCUGGUGUUGCCGACGACACGGCCGCAACCAAGAUGAAGGUGUUGUUGUGAAAUCCAAGACGGUGAAGGCAGCCUUAGCACAGUGGUCUCCCUCCAAAACGACCAAACUUGAUAGAUCUGCCGGCCGAAUCACAAACGAUGAAAGAUCCACCACCAAGCAGAGCAGAUUAAGAUAGACAAAAGAGAAAAAAUUACCGGGACCAAGCGUCAGGUGGGGGAAUGAAGCGCGGUGGAGAAAGGAAAUGAUUGGAGAUAAAGCCGGGCCAUGGAGAUGGAGUGAGAUUCUUCGUUUCUUCUUGCCGCGGCCUCCGUACGUCCUCCAAAGAAGACAAGAGGAGGGGCGAAAGAACAAAGAAGCUUCUUUUCUUUUCUUGUUGCAUCAUGGUGGCUUUGCCUUCCUUGGCGAUUGGGUAAAGGGAGAGAUUGGAUUCUUUCGGUUGACUCGUUUGGGGGAGGGAUUGGAUUCGACUGCACUUGCAAGUUGCAACGGCGGAGGCAAGAAUCGCCGGCGGCUGAGGCUUAGGGGAAGGUAGUACGACCGUUGGGCUCCAGAGAAAGAAAGAGAAGAUGAGUACGUCCAUCUGCAAAAUGGGCUUGGGUCCUUGUUGGGCUGGUCUUGUAAAAUGGCCUGGCCUUGUAAACCGUGCACUUCUUCUUCUUUUUUAUUAUUGUAAUAAUGUAAAAAGCACAUGUUUUGCAAACUAGGCUUGGGGAAUGGAAAUGCCUCUUCUUCACUGGGGGAGAAUUACAAGUAAGCUGACCAUACUUAAAUGCAUCUUGCUUCUUGAACAAUGCACGCUGGUUUAAUCUUACAAAUUAAUGCUUGCUCUCACUCAAACCACACUUCAGGAGAUAUGUAUAUAAUAUAAUAAAGGUCACAUCUGGAGACCAUCCUUUGGAGCCACACAAAAGCGUUCCAACUUAUUCUCUCUUUCUCAAAAACAAAAGUGAAUAAAUAUAUAUUCCAACUCACAGGCAGAUCACACACAGAGUCAUAAUUCAUAUAAAGAAGACAGUGAGGAGGUAUAUAAAUCAGACAGAAUCAAACAUGUACAAAUGUAGGUUAUCCAAUCACGACCCGCAUUGCUUCAGUUUCCUUCUCAUGGUGAUGCUGUUACAUAUUGACACCUCGCUGAUCUUUGAUAGGUUGAUCGAAUAUUUUCCUGAAAUGUUGUGCGACAAACUAACAGAGAAGGAAACUGAGGCAUGGUAGGCAGAGCAUUCCACCGUAGACAAAUGCGAUCUUGGUGGACUUGGGAGCAAAGGCAAAAGAAGGGGCUUGAUGUUGGAGAUCCGGCUGUGUCAAACCAUGAUCAAAUCAGCUGCCGCCACGUCUUAUGGUUGUGCAGAUGAAGAGUGGUCAGUGAAACCCACAGGAAAUCUUUUCCUCACCUCCAUCAAUAAAUAAUAAAUAAUGCUGACUGUGCCAACCUGAAAGCAAAGAAAAAAAAACUGAAACCAUACAUAUAUAUGAAUAUAUUCUUCUGCCAGGAAAAAUGAUACACAUAUAUCCAAGUCAAAUGGAAGUGCUAAAAAAAUCAUUGCUCAAAAACCUGAUUUUUUUAAACAAUUUUUAGCUCUGAUUUUGUGUUUUAUAGCUCCCCUGCUGUCAUUUCGCCAUCAGAUUUUGUGGGCACCUUGAAAACUCAAACUCCUUUUUUUCCAAAAACAAAUCCAGAUGUUUUUUAGUUUUUCCUAUUUGUUUCGAAUUUUCAUUGCAGGAGCAGAUGAGCCGAGCAAAACUUGGCAUCUUUUGGCCAAAAAAUUCAGUUUGUUUUACUGAUUUUUUUUAGUUUAGUAUUCAUCGCAGGAGCAUAUAUAUGAGCCAAAAAUGCCAUACUGGAGAGGAGGGUUUUGUUUUAAAAAUAGAAACAUGGAGGAGAGAAAUAAUACUCCCUCCGUCCCAUAAUAUAAUAACGUUUUUGGCACUAGCGUAAUGUUAAAAACGUUUUUAUAUUUUGGCACAGAGGGAGCAGUAGCUUAUCAAAACGGGGCAUGCGAUUCGAGGAUUUCUACUCUGGCCCGCUCAGAAUAUAAUAUAGUGGUGGAUGGCCCGUCCAAAUAAUCGAAACGAAUCUCGUCUCCUGCUGCUGCGUGGCGAUAACAUCCCAUGGUGACAGCGUUGCAAAAAGUAGUCACAACGGAACGGAAAUGAACACAGAAAUCACACAAGCAAACACAGAAAUCAAAGAGUCACGACGGAUGACCAAAACAACGAAUUCUUCCAUUUGCUACCAUAUAGUAUCACGCAAAGAGAGGAACAGCUUACACACACGCAUGCAGUUGGUGAGAUAAAAUGAGCAUUUUUCACCAUAUAUAUACAGGUCCGCUAGCUUAAUUUCAGAUGUAGGUGGUCUUGAUUCAUCGAAUCAAUCAAACGAAAUACUCUACUUGAUACAUAGACCGGGAGUUGCAUACAACUAGGAUUACAGAUCCCACCUCUUCAAAACGGGCCGGUUUUCAUUCUCUGCGAGCUGGCUAUGCAAGUAAUCCACCAACCCGGUAACACCCCAGUCCCUCUUAUCCAGCAUAAAUUCCUUGAGACUUCGUAGACAUGGUAACCCACAGAAAAACCAAACACUGUCAUCGAUCAGUUUAGAAUACUGCAGCAACUCAAGCUUAGGGGCUGCUCCUUCUUCAAACCCCACCGACUUGAGGUUCCAUACGCAAUUCAACUCCAGCACCUUAAGACUCGGGAAUGCCUCCCGACAGAAACUGAAACGAACCUCUUCACCAAUGAACGAGUAACCCAAUAGACGUAGGGUGGCCAGGUUUGGUAGAUUCCCAAGGACUUGUAUGGCCGCAUCAUGCUCCGAUAUCCUCGACUUUACUAGCUUCAGCUUCACGAGAUUUUUGAGGCCUUGGAUCCACGCCGGCAGCUCAACCAGGUUGCCUCUCAACUUGAGGCUCUGCAGGUUUUCUGGAGGUGAGGACAG